GGAAGGACUGGAGUAUUGUGACCAGUCAGGAAAGAAAUGGAGACUCGGGAAGCUGUUGAGUCAGACUGACGUGGAGCUGACAUACGAGGUGCAACAGGUUGGUGUACGGAGCUCAUCGAAUGACUCAAGACACAUAAUGAGACUGGGUGCCAAAGAUGGACAGCUGUUUAAUGAACAGAAUUAUCUCCAAAGAGCUGCCAAACCUGCUGGAG
Long non-coding RNA from Neoarius graeffei (lesser salmon catfish), 212 nucleotides. RefSeq lists it as uncharacterized. The record is from RefSeq and is a predicted model, not a curated record. NCBI's taxonomy places the organism in Eukaryota, Metazoa, Chordata, Actinopteri, Siluriformes, Ariidae. The transcript is spliced from 3 exons.